Molecule: ribosomal RNA, 237 nt
Filed under: Klebsiella pneumoniae
Lineage: Bacteria; Pseudomonadati; Pseudomonadota; Gammaproteobacteria; Enterobacterales; Enterobacteriaceae
Description: partial 16S ribosomal RNA
Rfam family: Bacterial small subunit ribosomal RNA
Source: RNAcentral
GGGAGGCAGCAGUGGGGAAUAUUGCACAAUGGGCGCAAGCCUGAUGCAGCCAUGCCGCGUGUAUGAAGAAGGCCUUCGGGUUGUAAAGUACUUUCAGCGAGGAGGAAGGCGUUGUGGUUAAUAACCGCAGCGAUUGACGUUACUCGCAGAAGAAGCACCGGCUAACUCCGUGCCAGCAGCCGCGGUAAUACGGAGGGUGCAAGCGUUAAUCGGAAUUACUGGGCGUAAAGCGCACGC